UACGAAGGGGGCUAGCGUUGCUCGGAAUUACUGGGCGUAAAGGGCUCGUAGGCGGCCAACUAAGUCAGACGUGAAAUCCCUCGGCUUAACCGGGGAACUGCGUCUGAUACUGGAUGGCUUGAGAUUGGGAGAGGGAUGCGGAAUUCCAGGUGUAGCGGUGAAAUGCGUAGAUAUCUGGAGGAACAUCGGUGGCGAAGGCGGCAUCCUGGACCAACACUGACGCUGAGGAGCGAAAGCCAGGGGAGCAAACGGG
RNAcentral lists this ribosomal RNA (253 nucleotides) under uncultured bacterium. RNAcentral describes it as "partial 16S ribosomal RNA". It matches the Rfam family "Bacterial small subunit ribosomal RNA", at positions 524 to 776 of the family's 1533-position model. The record is from RNAcentral.